CGCAGCCGCGGUAAUUCCAGCUCCAAUAGCGUAUAUUAAAGUUGUUGCAGUUAAAAAGCUCGUAGCUGAAUUUCGGAAUCAGUAUGUUGGUCGUGCUUCGGUACGUACUGUCAUUACUGGUUUCUACCUUCUGAAGAACCUUGAUGUCAUUAAUUUGGUGUCUUGGGGAAUCAGGACUGUUACUUUGAAAAAUUAGAGUGUUUAAAGCAAGCAUACGCUUGAAUACAUUAGCAUGGAAUAAUGAAAUAGGACGUUUGAUUCUAUUUUGUUGGUUUCUAGGAUCGACGUAAUGAUUAAUAGGGAUAGUUGGGGGCAUUAGUAUUCAAUUGUCAGGGGUGAAAUUCUUGGAUUUAUUGAAGACUAACUACUGCGAAAGCAUUUGCCAAGGAUGUUUUCAUUAAUCAAGAACGAAGGUUAGGGGAUCGAAGACGAUCAGAUACCGUCGUAGUCUUAACCAUAAACUAUGCCGACUAGGGAUCG
RNAcentral lists this unclassified non-coding RNA (480 nucleotides) under uncultured Glomus. RNAcentral's name for it is "SSU rRNA". It matches the Rfam family "Eukaryotic small subunit ribosomal RNA", at positions 569 to 1055 of the family's 1831-position model. The record is from RNAcentral. Lineage: Eukaryota; Fungi; Glomeromycota; Glomeromycetes; Glomerales; Glomeraceae.